RNAcentral lists this ribosomal RNA (508 nucleotides) under uncultured bacterium. Its description in RNAcentral is "partial 16S ribosomal RNA". It matches the Rfam family "Bacterial small subunit ribosomal RNA", at positions 28 to 523 of the family's 1533-position model. The record is from RNAcentral.
GAUGAACGCUAGCUACAGGCUUAACACAUGCAAGUCGAGGGGAAACGAUAUUGGAAGCUUGCUUCCGAUAGGCGUCGACCGGCGCACGGGUGAGUAACGCGUAUCCAACCUGCCCAUCACUUGGGGAUAACCUUGCGAAAGUAAGACUAAUACCCAAUGAUAUCUCUAGAAGACAUCUGAAAGGGAUUAAAGAUUUAUCGGUGAUGGAUGGGGAUGCGUCUGAUUAGCUUGUUGGCGGGGUAACGGCCCACCAAGGCGACGAUCAGUAGGGGUGCUGGGAGGAAGGUCCCCCACAUUGGAACUGGGACACGGACCAAACUCGUACGGGAGGCAGCAGUGAGGAAUAUUGGUCAAUGGACGAGAGUCUGAACCAGCCAAGUAGCGUGCAGGAUGACGGCCCUAUGGGUUGUAAACUGCUUUUAUAAGGGAAUAAAGUGAGCCUCGUGAGGCUUUUUGCAUGUACCUUAUGAAUAAGGGCCGGCUAAGUCCGUGCCAGCAGCCGCGGUAA